GACUGAUAAGUGAAGCAAAGCAUUUAAAAAUGAAUGCUAAUCUUUGGCUCGGAGAUGUUUUUAGCAAUAAAUAAACUUUCUUUCUUUACGUACCGGUAUUGGACCGGUCUCUCCAGAAGCACAAGUUUGCUUGUUUUAAAUAUUUACCUCAAGAACGAAACCAUCACGUCAUGUGACGCGUUUAGCGUGGACGUAAAUAGAAAUGUUUGGUUUCCCCGAUUUUGUAACAGGUCAUGGCUGUCUAGAUACGUCAAUGCGGCUCCUGCCGGUUUGAUUGAAACAUCGGCUCCGAUGUGUAAUCAAUGUGCACCGAGACGCGUUUUGUAGCGGUCGAUGUGGUAAAUAAGACAUUAGUUUUUACCCCUCCCAGAGCAUGCAUUGGACAGUUGAAAUGAAACGAGAGAGGAACUGAAAACUUCAGAAUUACGGAGGUGGAUCGACCGACGAAAAUAGUUUCUACUUUUUUUAUUGUAGCUACAAGUGUUUGUCCUUUUUGUGUGUGCCCCGUCCUGUAGCAGAAAAAUUGAAUUCCAACGGGUCAUUAAAAUGUCACCUCUAUCGCGAUGGAACGACACCCUUGCCCGGGGUGACAGGGUAGGCGCUGGCGACGCGGGAAAGCAGAUAGCCACCGCUGGAGACACAUCGAGACGUGUCCCAAAGGGCGUGUGCCACUGGGCGAUGUGUGCCACUGUUGUCGAUAAAUCCGAUUCCAGCUGCUGAUUAGGGGUUGACGGCGUAUUUUUCCUCCUCUUUCUCUCUCUAUGUCUGUCUCUAUAGAGUUGUCCUGACUGUCCAUAUGUCCACGCUCUAUUUAGUGAAGGACAUACGAAUCCACGUACAUCCUUCCGGGUAAGAGGGGGGGAAGGUUUAGAUCGAUCCUGGGCCAUUCCACCGCAAGCUAACGGAUCGAUGUGCGUUUGCUUGCUGUCUUGCGGCGUGGACUACGAUAAUGAUGGAAAAGCGAUAUGUCGUCAGGAGUGUGGGAGUGCACACAAACAAACACACCCCACCCCCCCGGACCGUACUGAAUCAGCUGAAAGGUUGGUCGAACGGAUGGGAAAAAUAAAAAACGACACUCCGGAAACAAGGCAAAGGGGAAAGAGGGAGAGAUAGAGAGAAUGAAAGGAUGAAACAAAAAGUGAACUCCGGGCCAGGAAUUAAUAGAGCAAAAUGCAGUUUUCCGCUCGGAUGACGAUUAUUAUAUUGACCCGUGGCGUUUUGUAUGGAUGUAUGUACGUGUAUGUAUUAGUGCGUUUGUUUUGCGGACGGUUGCAUUUCGGAAAACGAACCACCUGGCACAGGGAGGAAAGGAUGAACCUGAGCGGGUCGUUAAUGAUGAUGGGCACAGGGGACAUGGUGAAGUGGUGGACAAAGGACGCAUUUCCUGUCCAUUUUGUGUCCAAAGCCUUUUCCAACUGGUCUUGCUGCUGUUGCUGCUGCUGUGUAGCACGCAAAUGCCAUUUGCGUUUUUCGUGUCUCCCUCGAACUCUCCGUACGGAGGGAAGGAGUGCAAGGUGAAAAAGGACGAAACAUCCUUCGUACAUGGUUUCGUGGUGAGUAUCUACACGCCUGAGUAACCACACAACUGUUGUAAGCGGGGGAAAACGGUGGGCAAUGAGUACUUUCCUUCGUCCACCGUCCUCAUUUUCCACUGUUUAUUAUUCAUAAGGGUGAGAGCGGUCGAACGGAUUGAUCGGAAGGGAUGCAGAGCGUGCGGGGGAUUGGGCAUGAGGUAGCUAACGACGAAAACCAUCCCCCACCAGCCAGGCCAGGGCCAGGGCCACUUUUAGCCAGAAACUCGAACAUAAUCAAGCUGCUUUGCCGUGUUGAGCUUCGGGCUUAACGGAAAAAGUUGUUCCCUUUUACGAAGCUCGGGUCGAACGUUAGCAUCGACGUUAGGAUAGGUUCGGUUAGUGCCAGCACACCUGCUGACCAGGUCGUUAACGGAGCAGUUGAGACCAAAAAGCAAAACAACUUCCAUUGUGCAUUGUUUUGUCGGAACACUUUUCCGGGUCAGCCAGUAGUUACUUCUGACCUUUUCCAACAUACUCCUUCAUUCGGCGUGGACGAGUGGGUAAAAUUUUGGUAGCAUAUAAAACAAAAAGGAUCAUUUUUUGUGUGCUGUCCGUAGUUGCAGGUGGUCCGCUUUGUAGAAUCUACAGGGAAAACUAACUUUACCUUCGACAAUAAGGGUAACGUGCACUGCAAAUGGUUUAACACGUAACCGGUGUACGUUUUCGAUUUGCCCGCUGCGGUAGUAAAUUAUUCACACAAUAUCGAUGAAUUGCUGUGAACUAUUUCAAAUAUUUCCUUACAUUGAAAGCAAAUAUGGGUCUUUUAAACAAGCUUUCCCUUUUCGUGAAGGAGACGCCUAGUACUUCAUCCAGUGUAGUCGAUACGCAACACAAACGUUUUGUA
Molecule: long non-coding RNA, 2418 nt
Organism: Anopheles arabiensis
Lineage: Eukaryota; Metazoa; Arthropoda; Insecta; Diptera; Culicidae
Exons: 3
Source: RefSeq, a predicted model, not a curated record